RNAcentral lists this ribosomal RNA (533 nucleotides) under Pseudomonas cuatrocienegasensis. RNAcentral describes it as "bacterial SSU rRNA". It matches the Rfam family "Bacterial small subunit ribosomal RNA", at positions 56 to 585 of the family's 1533-position model. Lineage: Bacteria; Pseudomonadati; Pseudomonadota; Gammaproteobacteria; Pseudomonadales; Pseudomonadaceae. The record is from RNAcentral.
UGCAGUCGAGCGGUAGAGAGGAGCUUGCUUCUCUUGAGAGCGGCGGACGGGUGAGUAAUGCCUAGGAAUCUGCCUAGUGGUGGGGGAUAACGUUCGGAAACGGACGCUAAUACCGCAUACGUCCUACGGGAGAAAGCGGGGGACCUUCGGGCCUCGCGCCAUUAGAUGAGCCUAGGUCGGAUUAGCUAGUUGGUGAGGUAACGGCUCACCAAGGCGACGAUCCGUAACUGGUCUGAGAGGAUGAUCAGUCACACUGGAACUGAGACACGGUCCAGACUCCUACGGGAGGCAGCAGUGGGGAAUAUUGGACAAUGGGCGAAAGCCUGAUCCAGCCAUGCCGCGUGUGUGAAGAAGGUCUUCGGAUUGUAAAGCACUUUAAGUUGGGAGGAAGGGUAGUAACUUAAUACGUUGCUAUUUUGACGUUACCGACAGAAUAAGCACCGGCUAACUCUGUGCCAGCAGCCGCGGUAAUACAGAGGGUGCAAGCGUUAAUCGGAAUUACUGGGCGUAAAGCGCGCGUAGGUGGUUUGUUA